CCUACGGGUGGCUGCAGUCGAGAAUAUUCCACAAUGGACGCAAGUCUGAUGGAGCGACGCCGCGUGCAGGAUGACGGCCUUCGGGUUGUAAACUGCGGUAACUAGGGAAGAACUACGUGACGGUACCUAGUGGAAAGAGGCGGGUAACUACGUGCCAGCACCAGCGGUAAUACGUAGGCCUCGAGCGUUAUCCGGAUUUAUUGGGCGUAAAGAGCAUGUAGGAGGCUUCCUAAGUCUUUGGUUAAAGACCACCGCUUAACGGUGGGAGUGCUGAG
Molecule: ribosomal RNA, 275 nt
Filed under: uncultured bacterium
Lineage: Bacteria
Description: partial 16S ribosomal RNA
Rfam family: Bacterial small subunit ribosomal RNA
Source: RNAcentral